UGAGGAUCUUCUUCCGGGGGUCACGAGUUGUGUUCCGAUAUGUGUUUUGCUUUAUCGUUUCCAGUUUUUUCUUGAACUGUCUUUUACCUGAAACUUACUGAAAAGUCUUGCUAACAUAGUAACCACAUGACGCGUUUGUUUAAAGUGUUAAAGGGGAUAACGCACCGAGUUAGCUAGCUAAUGUAGCUAACGUUAGCUACCCACGUUACAGUGUAGCUGCUGACUUCACGACUAAGCUAGCUUGCAGGUACAGCGGCUCUGAGCAUGCUUAAUGUUAGCUAGCGAACUGACAGUAGCGGUCAUUCAACACGUGUUUGCUAUACGUUUGCUCUGAUGUUAGUGACAUAAACCGCCUAGCUUGAACAUAACAUUACCUCUCAGUGGAUAUGCCGAUCGGAGUGUGAUACUUAGCAAACAUGUUACUUGUUUAAUGUACAGCCCCAUUGCCAAUAACUUAAAACAGGCAGAAACGACCCUGGUGUGUAAAAAUGACCACCAGAAUAUCAGAUUAUCAAUGUAAAACGUUUAAUGUCAAGAGUAACAUGGAAAUGCUGGAAACACCAUUGGCAUAACAAUGCUAAUACUCUAGAUUUAGGAUUUGGAUGUAUAUUUAAACAUACAUGUAACUCUCUUUGCCUAGACCAGCAGUUUUAUUUAUAUUACAUUAUUAAUGCAUUUCCCCUGUUAAACACAGCAGUGCAGUUUGUGAAUAGGAACAAUAGGAAGUAGUGCUGUCACACAGGAUUAUGCAAUAAGAGUUGUAUACAUAUGUCUCCAUUUGCAGAGGAUCUUGCACAAGCAGUCUACAGUCAUUUCUUAACCCUAAGUUUCGUUUUAUUUCAGGAUGUCUAAACUUGAACGCCUGAAUGCUCGAGUGGCCAAGCUCCUGACUGAGGCGGUGCAUGAGGUGCUGGGGGCGGUGAAGGAGACGGUGUCGGAGUACCAGGAGAAAACUGCCAGAACACAGAGAGAGAACGAGAGUCUCAAGAGAAGGCUGCAGGAGCUUCAGGACAAGAUAACAAGAUCGAGCAUAGGUCUUGAUUUCACAGCUGUUCUACCUACAAGUAGUCCAUUACCUGAAGAAAAAGAAGACAUGCAGAGCCAAGAGCAGGAUUGGAUGCUCGCUUUUACGCAGGACCUGGACCUCCCUCUCGCCGAGCAAAACCAGAUAAGCAGCCACAAACCUGACCAUGACGUGAAGCAGGAGUUCAAACCACAGGAGAGCUACAAUAACACGGAACCACAAGCUGAGUUCAACUCCGCACAAACAACAGAACAUUGCACAGCACAACCAGAGGUGGCGACACACAUUAUCGAGGACGCAAUGACGGUCCACACAGCACAUAGUGCAGACACAGAGAUCAGUGCCGUGUCACCCAAUGACGCGUGCGCCUCUCACUCGAGAGCCUCACUCGGGGUGAACCUGGCGAUUAUCAAAAGAGAGUUCGAACUGACAGACUGCACAGCGUCAGAACCGCCGUCUCUUCAACAACAAUAUGGUGGAUGCGUAGAUUUAAGCUGCAACUCUUCUCGUCAGAACUCUGCUGAGACACCCGGGUCACAAGUUGGUGGCGAGCUUUGCGAGCGCGUCUUUGUCAACUCAAAACAUGCCCUAUCUAGGAGGCAUGGCUUUGCAAAAACCCACAGGGCUGCAUUUGAUGGGAGAAAAUUCCGGAUGGAGCACUUCAGGGGAGAUGACUCACACUUGUGUGUCGUGUGUGGGAAGACGUUCAGCCGGCUCGGGAACUUGAGGAUCCACCAACGCUGUCAUACAGGAGAGAAGCCGUACGGCUGCGUACAGUGUGGGAGACGCUUCAGUCAGGCGGGAGACCUGAAAAAACACAAGAGGGUCCACACAGGGGAGAAACCGUACUACUGCAGCCAGUGUGGAAAGAGCUUCAGUCGGGGGGAGAACCUGAAAAGACAUAAGAAGAUCCACAUUGGAGAGAUUUUACAGUUGCAGCAAGUGUGGAGGGAGCAACAGCAAUGACUGUUAUGCUAGACUGACUGCAAAUCAGCUGAAUCAGCACACUUUGUUUAGAAUCUGUGAAGGAUCUUUUUUGGACUUUGCCCUUCAUUUAAGAAAUAGUUGCAAUUAUAAGCAACAGAACACUUUGAAAUGCUAGUCUCUUGUAACUCUUUUGGAACUGUAGUGUGUUACAAUGAGUUACUUGCUGUUCUGGUGUGUAGCCAGUUGUGUGCUUGUUACGCUCGUCUUUUUGUCCCUCCUGAUUGUGAUGAAACAAGGCCGUAGAGUGUAAUCAUUUAACCAAAGAGACUGAAGCUUUACAGAGAGAGAUGCACUGAUACUAUCGGUACAUAAAUGUAUAUCUCUCUAAUAUUGUUAGCUGACACAAUUUGGUCAAUUGUGGAAUUUCACCUCAUAGAAAUGUUAAAGAAAUACACUUAAAGGUCCUCCACAGCCGUGAUGCAUUCAUACAGGUGACUUCAAUUACUGUGGCUGAUUAGAUGUCAGGACUUAGUGGAACUCUCUUGUUAGCUUUGUUGUACCUAGUUCUGUUUACUCCAUUUAACCUCAACUUGAGUAGAGGUGUAAUCAACCAGAAUAAGUGAAGACACCUGCAGGGGGUGUGCAGGGCUUUUAAGAUGGGCAUGAGUAAAUUGCACAUUUUAUUCAGCAACUUUAAAUGUCAACUUAUUUGUUUUACAAUGCAUAACAUUAUCAGUAAUGUGGCAGACAACACAAAAGGGAAAUGUAAGACAUUAACAUGUUAAAAGCCGUAUUAGUGCAUCUCUACUUUGCUGAAACAACUAUUAUUGAUUUUGGACAUUUAAAUCCAUUGAGCCUUUGGUCUAAAGAGCGGGUUGAAACAUUGUAAGGUGACAGUGUGUUAUAUAGUGUAACACAUCUGUGAAGACAGUUGAAACUUUUUCAAAUCUGGAUAGCAUGAUUCUCAUUGAAAUUGCCUGAUUUUCCAGACUUAUUGAAGCUUGCUAUAUUUAUUGCGAAUUUCAUUUGUUAUUAGUGAUGAAAGCCAGGAAAAUAGAGUUUGCGCAACAAAACAAUAAAUUUAUUUAUUACCACCACAAAAGGCCAAGUGAGCCUAUAUUCUUUAGACAGACAUCGCCUUACAUCCCCCCUGUGGCUGUUUGAGAUUUUUACCUCAAAUAAUGUCAUACAGCUGGAAUGUGUGAGAAAUGAUCACAUGCACGCACUUGACUUUACACACCAGAUAUUAGUGAUUUCAUAAUAGUUAUUUACCCCCCACCAGCUGUAGCCAGUUACAUAUGUCCCUACUACAUCUACUACAUCUACUGUGCAUUGUGUAUGUCAAUUAUCCAUGCAGUGCGUCACACACAUGGCAGCUUCAUUAUAUGACCGACUAUGAAAAUUUGCUUUACACUGACUCAAGUACAGUACAUCAAAUUACCUCAUUUAUACUUUAUAUUGUACACGGCUCCUACAACAAAUAAUAGAAAAUAAAUGCAAUUUUUAAAAAAUCCAAACACGUUAUUUCGUCCCACAAAACGACCUGAUGAUGCAGAACCUGUUUUAGUUGUCUCUUGGUUCAAAUCAUCUAACUACUUAAUCAAUCAAAUCUACUAAACCAAUUGAUACAGAUACUGACAGGCACUAAUGGGGCCCAUGGAAGUCUGGGGCCACCAUGCCAGACUGGUUUAGCAGAUACAUGUACUUGUUAAUUUAAGCUAUUUUUCUAAUGCAAAUCCCUUUGGAAAGGACAUUUAUGGAUAAAGUCAUUGGUGUAAUGACAGUGUAACAUAGGCUACAUCAUAACACAAUUGUCUUUAGGAUAAAAUAAGUUCCUCUAUGGUUGAUUUAGCUCUCAGCUGACGUGGAGCUGCCCUCACCUUGUCCACCAGGAAGUGAUUGACACACACCCAGAAGAGGAACCCGAAACAACGUUACACACUUCUGAAAGGUGAGCAAUAAAGAACCAUGUGGGGGAGAGAAAUAGUCUGCGCUCGCACUUUCUCUCAAGUUAAAGUUAAACAUUUUACAAACGGAAACCGAAAUUUACGAGUCACGUAUUAACGGGUAACAAACGGUAACACGGACGGUAAAAGACGUCACCGCAUUAAAAACAGUGGGCGAGAUAUUAAUGGCGGCAUGUUUCCAUCUAUUACCGAUAAUAACCGGUGUCGCCUUGUUGUGUAGGGUUUAUAAGUAUUACAUCGGUGGAUGUGGAGCAUUUCCUUAUUGCAACACUGGAAACGUAUUUGGCCCACAGACACGAGCUUAACUGUGAAUUAUUAAGCUCGUUAUUAGUUCUCUAUCAACAGACGACAUUAGUCAUAAAUGGGUGGACAAAGAAGGGUACCUCUCCAAGAAGGUAGGGAAAUACAAUAACAAAAUAAUAAUAAUAAUAAUACAAAAAUGGCGAGAGAAAGACUUCCUAUCAGAAGCGC
RNA transcript from Anarrhichthys ocellatus (wolf-eel), 4389 nucleotides. It is a transcript of the gene named sesquipedalian-1-like, with no coding region annotated. The record is from RefSeq and is a predicted model, not a curated record. The transcript has 4 exons. Lineage: Eukaryota; Metazoa; Chordata; Actinopteri; Perciformes; Anarhichadidae.